AAUUGAAUACACAACGAUUUAGGGUUAUGAAUAUAAAACGGCUGAUGUAAAAUGAAGAAAACCCUCCUUCGUCCCUAUUCUCGCACUCUUUUCUCUCAUCUGCCGGCUGCGGCCACCGCACAUCGCUCCUGCUUAAAGGAACUGUCCAGCAUCACCUUGAAUGUCAUCUUCGGCAACACUAUCAUAACAGAAUAUCUAUAAGUAUAACUUAUUCUUAAGUUUUAGAGGCGAAUACAGUAGUCUUCAUGAACAAUGAAGGUUUUUGGUUCAUAUCUUUGUUGUUGAAAUUAUAAACACGAAGCACUAGAAAGACUAAAAACAAUUUUAAUGGAAGAAACUCAUGAAUCUGCUCAAGUAAACGAUAACAGGAGCAAAAAUCAAUGAAUCCGUUACAUAUUUACUGAAAAGUUGGAAGAAAGAUCAUGCAAUAAAAGCACUUGAAAGUUGUGGAUUUCAUGUUUCAAAUGGUUUAAGAGUUCUUGAGCAAAAAUCUUUAAUAGUUGAUUAUGAUCGUUGGUUACUAAAAACAUUUCAAACAAUAAUCAUGUUGCACUUUUACUAUGUAAUUUAAUUGUUGUGGUUAAGAUUUUGGAAUUUAUAGUUGUAAGGGAUCAAAAUGGAAUUAAACAAACUUGAAAAUUUGUAGUUGUAAGGGAUCAAAAUGGAAUUGAAUGGGUGAUAUGAGUUAAUAGUU
This is a long non-coding RNA of Lactuca sativa (garden lettuce), 694 nucleotides long. RefSeq lists it as uncharacterized. Lineage: Eukaryota; Viridiplantae; Streptophyta; Magnoliopsida; Asterales; Asteraceae. The record is from RefSeq and is a predicted model, not a curated record.